UACAGAGGUGGCAAGCGUUGUUCGGAAUUACUGGGCGUAAAGGGCGCGUAGGCGGCCCGUCAAGUCCCGUGUGAAAGCCCCCGGCUCAACUGGGGAGGGUCACGCGAUACUGAUCGACUCGAAGGCAGGAGAGGGUAGUGGAAUUCCCGGUGUAGUGGUGAAAUGCGUAGAUAUCGGGAGGAACACCAGUGGCGAAGGCGACUACCUGGCCUGUUCUUGACGCUGAGGCGCGAAAGCGUGGGGAGCGAACAGG
Molecule: ribosomal RNA, 253 nt
Filed under: uncultured bacterium
Lineage: Bacteria
Description: partial 16S ribosomal RNA
Rfam family: Bacterial small subunit ribosomal RNA
Source: RNAcentral